GUGUCAGCCGCCGCGGUAAAACGUAGGAUGCGAGCGUUAUCCGGAGUUACUGGGCGUAAAGCGCGGGCAGGCGGAGGGGCAAGUCGGACGUGAAAGCUCCCGGCUUAACCGGGAGAGGCCGUUCGAGACUGCCUCUCUGGAGGGCAGUAGAGGCGCGUGGAAUUCCGGGUGGAGCGGUGAAAUGCGCAGAGAUCCGGAGGAACACCAGAGGCGAAGGCGGCGCGCUGGGCUGACCCUGACGCUGAGCCGCGAAAGCGUGGGGAGCGAACAGGAUUAGAUACCCUGGUAGUCCCAGCCGUAAACGAUGGGCACUAGGUGUGGGGGGUUACCAACUCCCUCCGUGCCGAAGCUAACGCAUUAAGUGCCCCGCCUGGGGAGUACGGCCGCAAGGUUAAAACUUAAAUGAAUUGACGGGG
RNAcentral lists this ribosomal RNA (416 nucleotides) under uncultured prokaryote. RNAcentral describes it as "bacterial SSU rRNA". It matches the Rfam family "Bacterial small subunit ribosomal RNA", at positions 505 to 918 of the family's 1533-position model. The record is from RNAcentral.